AUGCUGAUGGCCGACCAGCUGACUCACCGUGCUCUGGCGGCGCUGGCGAAGCAGCACGGGGGGUUGGUGCACCUCCGCCUGGGCUGCCUCCCUAUCUUGGUGGUGUCCACACCGGAGUACGCGCACGAGGUGCUCCAGGCGCAGGACAACAAUGACUUCUGGAAGCGUCCAACCUCCAUCGCCAUCCUCUACCUCACCUACGGCUGCUCCGACAUGGCAUUCGCGCACAACAGGCGCUACUGGCGCGAGAUGCGCAAGCUGUGCGUCACCAAGCUCUUCAGCCGGCAGCGCGCCGAGACAUGGCUCGCCGUGCGCGACGGGUAUGGGGAGCUCAUCCGGGACGUCGGCAGGUCCAGCGGGGAAGCCGUGAACCUCGGCGAACUCAUCUACAAGCACACCGUGAGCGUCAUCCUGCGUGCCGCCUUCAGCGUCCGCGACGUCCAAGGACUGGAGGAGUUGAUCCCCAAGAUCAACGAUUACUCCAAGCUCUUAGAAGUGUUUCACAUCGGUGACAUCUUCCCAUGGCUUAGCUGGAUUGGCCGCCGGGGCUUGGACCACCGCCUCCGUUCUGUGUGCGGCGCUCUCGGCAAGUUUGCGGACAAGAUCAUUAACGAGCACAUUAGGAGGGGAAAGAACCCCGACGAAGCCGACGCUGACAUAGUAGGCGGCCUACUCGCGUUCCUCGCUGAUGCCAGCGGGAAGGACCUCCACUUCACCCGCGACAACGUUAAAGGCCUGAUCAUGGUAAGUACUCCCACUGUAAGCUAA
This 768-nucleotide ribosomal RNA is filed under the name Triticum aestivum (bread wheat). Its description in RNAcentral is "partial small subunit ribosomal RNA". Lineage: Eukaryota; Viridiplantae; Streptophyta; Magnoliopsida; Poales; Poaceae. The record is from RNAcentral.